This 23-nucleotide non-coding RNA is filed under the name Cricetulus griseus (Chinese hamster). The record is from RNAcentral. Lineage: Eukaryota; Metazoa; Chordata; Mammalia; Rodentia; Cricetidae.
UCUUUCUAGAUACUCUAAAGUGC